GAUUCUGGCUCAGGAUGAACGCUGGCGGCGUGCCUAACACAUGCAAGUCGAACGGGUUAAGGGAAAUUUCGGAUGGACCUUAACUAGUGGCGGACGGGUGAGUAACGCGUGGAUAACCUGCCUCACACAGGGGGAUAGCAGCUGGAAACGGCUGGUAAUACCGCAUAAGACCACGGUGCCGCAUGGCGCUGAGGUAAAAGAUUUAUCGGUGUGAGAUGGAUCCGCGUCUGAUUAGCCAGUUGGCGGGGUAACGGCCCACCAAAGCGACGAUCAGUAGCCGGCCUGAGAGGGUGAACGGCCACAUUGGGACUGAGACACGGCCCAAACUCCUACGGGAGGCAGCAGUGGGGAAUAUUGCACAAUGGGCGCAAGCCUGAUGCAGCCAACGCCGCGUGAGUGAAGAAGUAUUUCGGUAUGUAAAGCUCUAUCGGCAGGGAAGAAAGGCCCUUUAAGGGAGAUGACGGUACCUGACUAAGAAGCCCCGGCUAACUACGUGCCAGCAGCGGC
This 507-nucleotide ribosomal RNA is filed under the name uncultured bacterium. RNAcentral describes it as "bacterial SSU rRNA". It matches the Rfam family "Bacterial small subunit ribosomal RNA", at positions 15 to 518 of the family's 1533-position model. The record is from RNAcentral.